RNAcentral lists this ribosomal RNA (184 nucleotides) under uncultured bacterium. Its description in RNAcentral is "partial 16S ribosomal RNA". It matches the Rfam family "Bacterial small subunit ribosomal RNA", at positions 1309 to 1500 of the family's 1533-position model. The record is from RNAcentral.
AACCCGACUCCAUGAAGCUGGAUUCGCUAGUAAUCGCGCAUCAGCCACGGCGCGGUGAAUACGUUCCCGGGCCUUGUACACACCGCCCGUCAAGCCAUGGAAGCCGGGAGUGCCUGAAGUGCGUGAGCGCAAGCAGCGCCCUAAGGUAAAACCGGUGACUGGGGCUAAGUCGUAACAAGGUAGC